CUACACAUGCAGUCGAGCGGAUGACAGGAGCUUGCUCCUGAAUUCAGCGGCGGACGGGUGAGUAAUGCCUAGGAAUCUGCCUGGUAGUGGGGGACAACGUUUCGAAAGGAACGCUAAUACCGCAUACGUCCUACGGGAGAAAGCAGGGGACCUUCGGGCCUUGCGCUAUCAGAUGAGCCUAGGUCGGAUUAGCUAGUUGGUGAGGUAAUGGCUCACCAAGGCGACGAUCCGUAACUGGUCUGAGAGGAUGAUCAGUCACACUGGAACUGAGACACGGUCCAGACUCCUACGGGAGGCAGCAGUGGGGAAUAUUGGACAAUGGGCGAAAGCCUGAUCCAGCCAUGCCGCGUGUGUGAAGAAGGUCUUCGGAUUGUAAAGCACUUUAAGUUGGGAGGAAGGGCAUUAACCUAAUACGUUAGUGUUUUGACGUUACCGACAGAAUAAGCACCGGCUAACUCUGUGCCAGCAGCCGCGGUAAUACAGAGGGUGCAAGCGUUAAUCGGAAUUACUGGGCGUAAAGCGCGCGUAGGUGGUUUGUUAAGUUGGAUGUGAAAGCCCCGGGCUCAACCUGGGAACUGCAUUCAAAACUGACAAGCUAGAGUAUGGUAGAGGGUGGUGGAAUUUCCUGUGUAGCGGUGAAAUGCGUA
Molecule: ribosomal RNA, 647 nt
Filed under: Pseudomonas sp. EP_S_22
Lineage: Bacteria; Pseudomonadati; Pseudomonadota; Gammaproteobacteria; Pseudomonadales; Pseudomonadaceae
Description: bacterial SSU rRNA
Rfam family: Bacterial small subunit ribosomal RNA
Source: RNAcentral